This 1117-nucleotide long non-coding RNA is filed under the name Astyanax mexicanus (Mexican tetra). Its description in RNAcentral is "lncRNA (ENSAMXG00005006115.1)". The record is from RNAcentral. Lineage: Eukaryota; Metazoa; Chordata; Actinopteri; Characiformes; Acestrorhamphidae.
CCCCACUCUACCUCACUCUACCCCACUCUACUUAAUUCUACCCCAUUCUACCCCACUCUACCUCACUCUACUCCACUCUACCUUAUUCUACCCUAUUCUACCCCACUCUACCUCACUCUACCCGACUCUACCUCACUCUACCUUAUUCUACCUCACUCUACCCCACUCUACCUCACUGUACCUCACUUUACCUUAUUCUACCUUACUCUUUCUUUCUACCUCACUCUACCUUAUUCUACCUCACUCUACUUUACUCUACCCCACUCUACCUCACUGUACCUCACUCUUUCUUAUUCUACCUUUCUCUGUCUUUCUACCUCACUCUACCCCACUCUAUUAUAAUCUACCUUUCUCUGUCUUUCUACCUCACUCUACCUCACUCUACCCCACUCUACCUCACUUUACCUUAUUCUACCUUACUCUUUCUUUCUACCUCACUCUACUUUACUCUACCCCACUCUACCUCACUGUACCUCACUCUUCCUUAUUCUACCUUUCUCUGUCUUUCUACCUCACGCUACCCCACUCUAUUAUAAUCUACCUUUCUCUGUCUUUCUACCUCACUCUACCUCACUCUACCCCACUCUGCCCCACUCUACAUUACUCUAACUUACUCUACCUUAUUCUACCUCACUCUACCUCACUCUGCCCACUCUACAUUACUUUAAGUCACUCUACCUCACUCUACCUCACUCUACAUUACUCUCCCUCACUCUGUUUCACUCUAACCCUCAUGGGGUUCUGGGUGUGUUAUUGGGGUGUGUGAGUGAGUGUGAGCAUGUGUAUCCAAGGUUCGUGUAAGGAAACAUUUUUGAUGCAUCUGCAUUUGCAAAAGCGUGGAUAUAGAAAGGACUUUUCUAUGUGUGUGUGUGUGUGUGUGUGUGUGUGUGUGUGCUUGCAUGUGUGUUCGUUAUUGCAACAGAGUUGACCACAGUACUUCACAAUCACUUCCUGGGUUGCCCGUGGCGACAGCUAAAUGUUAGCAUUUUAAUGAAUUGUGGAAAAGACUUUUUUAAAACAGAAUAGAAGCUUUUGAUUUUUGAUUUUGUGUUUACAGAUGUAGAUCUGUAAAAUAUCUUAAUGUAUAGUACACUAACUAUGAUAAACUAAAUAUCCC